UACGUAGGGUGCAAGCGUUGUCCGGAAUUAUUGGGCGUAAAGAGCUCGUAGGCGGUUUGUCGCGUCUGCUGUGAAAACUCGGGGCUUAACUCCGGGCCUGCAGCCGAUACGGGCAGACUAGAGUUCGGCAGGGGAGACUGGAAUUCCUGGUGUAGCGGUGAAAUGCGCAGAUAUCAGGAGGAACACCGGUGGCGAAGGCGGGUCUCUGGGCCGAUACUGACGCUGAGGAGCGAAAGCGUGGGGAGCGAACAGG
This 253-nucleotide ribosomal RNA is filed under the name uncultured bacterium. Its description in RNAcentral is "partial 16S ribosomal RNA". It matches the Rfam family "Bacterial small subunit ribosomal RNA", at positions 524 to 776 of the family's 1533-position model. The record is from RNAcentral.